UGAACGCGAAAGGAACUUACCAAGGCUUGACAUGGGCCGGACAGGGCUGGAGACAGUCCCUCCCUUCGGGGCCGGUUCACAGGUGGUGCAUGGUUGUCGUCAGCUCGUGUCGUGAGAUGUUGGGUUAAGUCCCGCAACGAGCGCAACCCUCGUUCCAUGUUGCCAGCACGUGAUGGUGGGGACUCAUGGGAGACUGCCGGGGUCAACUCGGAGGAAGGUGGGGACGACGUCAAAUCAUCAUGCCCCUUAUGCCUUGGGCUUCACGCAUGCUACAAUGGCCGGUACAAAGGGUUGCGAUGCUGUGAGGUUGAGCCAAUCCCAGAAAGCCGGUCUCAGUUCGGAUUGGGGUCUGCAACUCGACCCCAUGAAGUCGGAGUCGCAUAGUAAUCGCAGAUCAGCAACGCUGCGGUGAAUACGUUCCCGGGUCUUGUACACACGCA
Molecule: ribosomal RNA, 440 nt
Filed under: bacterium CPTAC46
Lineage: Bacteria
Description: bacterial SSU rRNA
Rfam family: Bacterial small subunit ribosomal RNA
Source: RNAcentral